UGGCGGACGGGUGAGUAAUGUCUGGGAAACUGCCUGAUGGAGGGGGAUAACUACUGGAAACGGUAGCUAAUACCGCAUAAUGUCGCAAGACCAAAGAGGGGGACCUUCGGGCCUCUUGCCAUCGGAUGUGCCCAGAUGGGAUUAGCUAGUAGGUGGGGUAACGGCUCACCUAGGCGACGAUCCCUAGCUGGUCUGAGAGGAUGACCAGCCACACCGGAACUGAGACACGGCCCAGACUCCUACGGGAGGCAGCAUG
Molecule: ribosomal RNA, 256 nt
Filed under: uncultured bacterium
Lineage: Bacteria
Description: partial 16S ribosomal RNA
Rfam family: Bacterial small subunit ribosomal RNA
Source: RNAcentral